GUGUUAAGUGGAAAAGGAUGUGGGAUUUCGAAGACAACUAGGAUGUUGGCUCAGAAGCAGCCAUACAUUCAAAGAGUGCGUAAUAGCUCACUAGUCGAGAGGUCCUGCGCCGAAAAUGUCCGGGGCUAAAACACGACACCGAAGCUUAGGAAUCGAGAGAUUGGUAGAGGAGCAUUGACAGCGCGCCGAAGCUGUACCGGAAGGCGCAGUGGAGUGCUGUGAAGAGAGAAUGCCGGAAUGAGUAGCGAGAGUAAGGUGAGAAUCCUUACGGCCGAAUAUCCGAGGUUUCCAGAGUAAAGCUGAUCUGCUCUGGGUAAGUCGGGACCUAAGGCGAGGUCGAAAGACGUAGCUGAUGGACAACAGGUUGAAAUUCCUGUACUACGGUAUGAAAGAAAUGUGGGGACGCAUGUGGAGAGCAUGAGCCGGGAAAGGAAAGACCGGUGCAAGCGGGACAGUAGCCAUGCAGGCAAAUCCGUGUGGCAAUACGAAGACGUGACGCGGACCGAAAUAAAGUAGGGAAGCAUGUGAGCCAUGUGCCAAGAAAAGCCGCUAUAGAUCAUACCGUACCCGUACCGUAAACCGACACAGGUAGAUGAGGAGAGAAUCCUAAGGCCGACGGGAGAAGCAUUGUUAAGGAACUCGGCAAAAUGACCCCGUAACUUCGGGAGAAGGGGUGCCCACGCGAGUGGGCCGCAGAGAAUAGGCUCAAGCAACUGUUUAGCAAAAACACAGGUCUAUGCGAAACCGAAAGGUGAGGUAUAUGGGCUGACGCCUGCCCGGUGCUGGAAGGUUAAGAGGAGGAGUCAGGCAACGAAGCUCCGAAUUUAAGCCCCAGUAAACGGCGGCCGUAACUAUAACGGUCCUAAGGUAGCGAAAUUCCUUGUCGGGUAAGUUCCGACCCGCACGAAAGGCGUAAUGAUUUGAGCACUGUCUCGACAAUGCACCCGGUGAAAUUGAAGUACCAGUGAAGAUGCUGGUUACCUGCGCCAGGACGGAAAGACCCCAUGGAGCUUUACUCCAGUUUGAUACUGGGAUUCGAUACUGAAUGUACAGGAUAGGUGGGAGGCUGAGAAGCGUGGACGCCAGUCUGCGGUGAGCCGCUGUUGGGAUACCACCCUUUGAGUAUUGGAUUUCUAACCUGCGCCCGUGACCCGGGCGGGGGACAAUGUCUGACGGGGAGUUUGACUGGGGCGGUCGCCUCCGAAAGGGUAUCGGAGGCGCUCAAAGGUUCCCUCAGAAUGGUUGGAAACCAUUCGCAGAGUGCAAAGGCAGAAGGGAGCUUGACUGUGACACCGACGGGUGGAGCAGGUACGAAAGUAGGACUUAGUGAUCCGGUGGUAUGAAAGUGGGAUUGCCAUCGCUCAACGGAUAAAAGCUACCCUGGGGAUAACAGGCUUAUCACUCCCAAGAGUUCACAUCGACGGAGUGGUUUGGCACCUCGAUGUCGGCUCAUCGCAUCCUGGGGCUGUAGUAGGUCCCAAGGGUUGGGCUGUUCGCCCAUUAAAGCGGUACGCGAGCUGGGUUCAGAACGUCGUGAGACAGUUCGGUCCCUAUCCGGCGUGGGCGUAGGAUAUCUGAGAGGAGCUGUCCUUAGUACGAGAGGACCGGGAUGGACUGACCUCUGGUGCACCGGUUGCAUUGCCAAAUGCAUAGCCGGGUAGCCAAGUCGGGACGGGAUAAACGCUGAAGGCAUCUAAGCGUGAAGCCCCCCUCAAGAUGAGAUAUCCCAUAACAUAAGUUAGUAAGACCCCUUGAAGACGACGAGGUAGAUAGGCAGAAGGUGGAAGUGUGGUGACAUAUGGAGCUGAUCUGUACUAAUAGGUCGAGGGCUUAACCAA
This 1838-nucleotide ribosomal RNA is filed under the name human gut metagenome. RNAcentral describes it as "bacterial LSU rRNA". It matches the Rfam family "Bacterial large subunit ribosomal RNA", at positions 1056 to 2925 of the family's 2925-position model. The record is from RNAcentral.